Long non-coding RNA from Orbicella faveolata, 545 nucleotides. NCBI's taxonomy places the organism in Eukaryota, Metazoa, Cnidaria, Anthozoa, Scleractinia, Merulinidae. The record is from RefSeq and is a predicted model, not a curated record.
ACAGAGGUAAAGGCAACUCGGAAAUGGCCUAUUCUUUUUCUUGUUAGCAGCUGUCAUUGUUACUGUUCUAGGGCCGGGAUUGUUUGUUCCAUUGGCCUCUCAAAGUGUAACAAGCCAGUCAUGUGAGACCUUACGAGAGCUGCUACCUGACCCGCCAAGCUCAAAGUUUGAAGUUCGAGGUCUGAGUUCGGAGAAUAUAAGCCAGAAAACCCUUAUCAGUCCGGAAUAUCCCAAUAAAUUAGGACAGUCAUGACGUCAUAAAGCUAUUGUUAGCAGGGAAAAUGGCGGACCUUUUAUGCGGACCAAGAAAAUAUGUUGUUUCCAGUCUCGCAUAGAGUCUGGUCAGCAUUAUCCAGGACUUUUUCCGACCAAACGUUGAGAAGGAGAAUAAGCGGCCAUUUUGGUAGUGGGAGAACGUUGAUUGUCUUCUAAUCAUUGAGUUUUGUUGGUGUCAAGCGACGAUGUAGACGCGAUUUUGUGGCCAAAUAUUAAGUACAUGGAAGAGCAUACUCGACUGCUCGAGGCACUUUGCCGAAUUUUUGGGG